This 63-nucleotide transfer RNA is filed under the name Ictidomys tridecemlineatus (thirteen-lined ground squirrel). RNAcentral describes it as "Spermophilus tridecemlineatus (thirteen-lined ground squirrel) tRNA". It matches the Rfam family "tRNA", at positions 6 to 65 of the family's 71-position model. Rfam says of the family: Transfer RNA (tRNA) molecules are approximately 80 nucleotides in length. Their secondary structure includes four short double-helical elements and three loops (D, anti-codon, and T loops). Lineage: Eukaryota; Metazoa; Chordata; Mammalia; Rodentia; Sciuridae. The record is from Rfam by way of RNAcentral.
UGUGGCUCAGUAGUAGAGCACUUGUUUAACAAGCAUGAGGCACACUGGGUUCAAUUCUCAGCA